CCCGAAGUGGCGAAAUGGCAGACGCGCGGGAUUCAAAAUCCCGUUCCCGCAAGGGAGUGAGGGUUCAAGUCCCUCCUUCGGGA
This 83-nucleotide transfer RNA is filed under the name Pseudomonadota bacterium. RNAcentral describes it as "tRNA-Leu". It matches the Rfam family "tRNA". Rfam says of the family: Transfer RNA (tRNA) molecules are approximately 80 nucleotides in length. Their secondary structure includes four short double-helical elements and three loops (D, anti-codon, and T loops). RNAcentral also lists the same sequence under 2 other names. Lineage: Bacteria; Pseudomonadati; Pseudomonadota. The record is from RNAcentral.